UACGAAGGGUGCAAACGUUAUUCGGAAUCACUGGGCGUAAAGGGUGCGUAGACGGUAUGUUAAGUUCGUUGUUAAAGGCUCCGGCCUAACCGGAGUACCGCAAUGAAAACUGGCGUGCUAGAGGGUGAGAGAGAGAAGUGGAAUUCCCGGAGUAGCGGUAAAAUGCGUGGAUCUCGGGAGGAACACCAAUGGCGAAGGCAGCCUUUUGGCUCAUUCCUGACGUUGAGGCACGAAAGCGUGGGGAGCAAACAGG
RNAcentral lists this ribosomal RNA (253 nucleotides) under uncultured bacterium. RNAcentral's name for it is "partial 16S ribosomal RNA". It matches the Rfam family "Bacterial small subunit ribosomal RNA", at positions 524 to 776 of the family's 1533-position model. The record is from RNAcentral.